Molecule: unclassified non-coding RNA, 139 nt
Filed under: soil metagenome
Description: partial internal transcribed spacer 1
Source: RNAcentral
CAUUCAGUAGCCCAGCUACUUGUUUACACCCUUGUCUUUUUGCGUACUUAUCGUUUCCUCGGCGGGCUUGCCUGCCGGUUGGACAACUUUAUAACCUUUUUAAAUCUUCAAUCAGCGUCUGAAUAAUGUACAAUAAUUA